AGCAGCCGCGGUAAUUCCAGCUCCAAUAGCGUAUAUUAAAGUUGUUGCAGUUAAAAAGCUCGUAGUUGAAUUUCGAGACCGGUUUAUUGGUCGUGCUUUUGUACGUACUGGUAUUAUUGGUUUCUCCUUUCUGACGAAUCUUAAUGCCAUUAAUUUGGUGUUUUGGGGAAUCAGGACUGUUACUUUGAAAAAAUUAGAGUGUUUAAAGCAGGCUCACGCUUGAAUACAUUAGCAUGGAAUAACGAAAUAGGACGUUUGAUUUUAUUUUGUUGGUUUCUAGGAUCGACGUAAUGAUUAAUAGGGAUAGUUGGGGGCAUUAGUAUUCAAUUGUCAGAGGUGAAAUUCUUGGAUUUAUUGAAGACUAACUACUGCGAAAGCAUUUGCCAAGGAUGUUUUCAUUAAUCAAGAACGAAAGUUAGGGGAUCGAAGACGAUCAGAUACCGUCGUAGUCUUAACCAUAAACUAUGCCGACUAGGGAUCGGAUGAUGUUAAUUUUUUAAUGACUCA
RNAcentral lists this ribosomal RNA (507 nucleotides) under uncultured Glomus. RNAcentral describes it as "SSU rRNA". It matches the Rfam family "Eukaryotic small subunit ribosomal RNA", at positions 569 to 1078 of the family's 1831-position model. Lineage: Eukaryota; Fungi; Glomeromycota; Glomeromycetes; Glomerales; Glomeraceae. The record is from RNAcentral.